This 455-nucleotide ribosomal RNA is filed under the name uncultured bacterium. Its description in RNAcentral is "bacterial SSU rRNA". It matches the Rfam family "Bacterial small subunit ribosomal RNA", at positions 340 to 786 of the family's 1533-position model. The record is from RNAcentral.
UACGGGAGGCAGCAGUGGGGAAUAUUGCACAAUGGGCGAAAGCCUGAUGCAGCUAUGCCGCGUGUAUGAAGAAGGCCUUAGGGUUGUAAAGUACUUUCAUCGGGGAGGAAAAACAAAACUAAUAAUUUUAUUUCUUGACGUUACCCGAAAAAGAAGCACCGGCUAACUCCGUGCCAGCAGCCGCGGUAAUACGGAGGGUGCUAGCGUUAAUCAGAAUUACUGGGCGUAAAGAGCACGUAGGUGGUUUUUUUAAGUCAGAUGUGAAAUCCCUGGGCUUAACCUAGGAACUGCAUUUUGAAACUGAAAUACUAGAGUAUCGUAGAGGGAGGUAGAAUUCUAGGUGUAGCGGUGAAAUGCGUAGAUAUCUGGAGGAAUACCUGUGGCGAAAGCGGCCUCCUAAACGAAUACUGACACUGAGGUGCGAAAGCGUGGGGAGCAAACGAGGAUUAGAUACC